AUUGAACGCUGGCGGCAUGCUUUACACAUGCAAGUCGAACGGUAACAGGCCGCAAGGUGCUGACGAGUGGCGAACGGGUGAGUAAUGCAUCGGAACGUGCCCAGUCGUGGGGGAUAACUACUCGAAAGAGUAGCUAAUACCGCAUACGAUCUAUGGAUGAAAGCGGGGGACCGUAAGGCCUCGCGCGAUUGGAGCGGCCGAUGUCAGAUUAGGUAGUUGGUGGGGUAAAGGCUCACCAAGCCAACGAUCUGUAGCUGGUCUGAGAGGACGACCAGCCACACUGGGACUGAGACACGGCCCAGACUCCUACGGGAGGCAGCAGUGGGGAAUUUUGGACGAUGGGCGCAAGCCUGAUCCAGCAAUGCCGCGUGCAGGAAGAAGGCCUUCGGGUUGUAAACUGCUUUUGUACGGAACGAAACGGCUCUGGUUAAUACCCGGGGCUAAUGACGGUACCGGAAGAAUAAGCACCGGCUAACUACGUG
RNAcentral lists this ribosomal RNA (482 nucleotides) under uncultured bacterium. RNAcentral describes it as "partial 16S ribosomal RNA". It matches the Rfam family "Bacterial small subunit ribosomal RNA", at positions 30 to 507 of the family's 1533-position model. The record is from RNAcentral.